UCAGUUACUUUGUCUAUAUUUAUUUAUGUGCAGUUGUUUGCCUUAUUUAGGAGUACAUGAGUCAAUGUGUUUAUAGCUACAUACAUGGUUUUAUAGGCCUUGCAGCAAAGUUGACUAAUAAACAUGAUCAAAUAAAAUUAUGUUAAACAAAUAUUGGACCUAUUUCAGCUUGGUUUUCUUAUUUUCUGUACUGAUGUUCCUAUUUUAUGUCUUUGCAUGGUGAGAUUUAUGUUAAUUUUUUUCCCAAUCACAGCCUUUCAAGCAAUAGAGUGAUUAGUUAGGAAUUGGCAAACUUUCACUUAUUCUAUUAGUUAGGAUUUGGCAAAGGUUUAGGUUUGUCAGUUAGUUAUGAAAUAUGUGGCUUGAAAAUAGGAUAAUUUAGAGUGAUUAGGAGUCAUAUUAUGUUUUUUGGUUACUGAUAUAAGUAAGGCAAUAUACAAGUUUCAUAAACAUAUAUGGAUAAUAAGGUUUGUGUGCAAAGGUCUGACACUGACACAUACUUAAAUCAACAUUUUAGUUCAAACUUGGUGUGGAGUUCAUUUGUUUAUUUAGUAGUAGAAACUGUAUCUUUAUCUACUUACUUUUAUGAAUGGCAAUUAAAGGAAAGUAUGAUGUUUUAUAUCACAUCAUUAUGGUAAUCAAAUUUUUGCUUAAAACUUUAAAAGAACUCAUUUGGUUAAAUAAAUCUUCUGCAUAAAGAGUAAAACUGAAUUUGAACAUAAAUAUGUUUUAUUCAUCCCCUGUUUUUCUUCUGAUACAAACUACAUUUACUCUCCAAUUGAUCUAAUUUAAAAGCUUGAAAAUAUCACACUGGAAAAAAUAGUUGAGGCAAUACAUGUUUUUACUUAGAUUUUGCUAAUAAAUGGGGAGAUUAGUGGGUUUUAAUGAUAACACUAAUCACUAUUUACACAGGAAUUUGGCCUGAAUCACCAAGCUUUAGAGACACUGACAUGCCACCAGUAGAAGUGCCCUCAAACUGUUUUUGUAAGGAUUAUGUACUUCCACACAUUCCUAUUGUUUGUAAAAUAAUUACAAAGGGAAGUUCAAUAGCUUGUAAUCAAAGGAGUACCACUUCAAUUUUUUUGAUUGCAUCUUAUUUGUUCCUAUAGAAUUCUAGGAUAAAUUCCCCACCUUCCUAUAGGACCAAUGCACAAAAAGUAUUGCGAUGGUUGUUGUGUAUAAUAACUCAUGGAACUAUAAAUGUUUUAUUCAUUUGUUUGGUUUUAGGAUCACAUUAUAUCUUAUGUAGUAGGACUAAGAUAUUUUGUCUACCCUCAAGUGGUCAAAAUGUAUUCAUAACUAUUUAUCAUUGAGGAUAUAUGCCAUUGUUUAUUCACGAACAAUGUUGUCCAGCUGGUUUUGGGUUUCUGGUUAAUGUUCCUGCACCCUGUUUUUUUGCUCACGGGCGAUAGCAGCAGCAGUGAGUAAAUUUUAACUGCAGGCGGAGGAACAAAUUCAGCAGCAACACAAAUGGCAGCCACCGCGAAAUGGGUGGUUAAAAUGCAACAUGGACACCGGGUUUCACAAUCAGAGCGCAACAACAACCUGUGGCCGCUGGUGCAUCAGAGAUGAAGCCGGGAUGUUUGUGCGUGCAGGUACAACAUGGAAUCAUGGAACUCAUUCUAUCAUUGAAGCUGAAGCACUAGCCUUGUUAGAAUCAAUGCAGGCUGCUACAAGUAUGAACAUGAUGAACAAAGCUUCAGUUAAAUUGUUCCAAAUGCGUGACGACCACAGAAAGAAAGGAGUGGAUAUUCCCACAGAAAACGAGUUUCGAGGCUAUUAUGCUCUUCUUAAAUUGGAUAAGCACCCUGGUUAUAAAAGCUCGCAGAACGGGUAAUUUUAUUGCCUUCUUUCGGCUUGCAAAGAAAGCAACUUAUCUUCAAGCAUGUCUAAUGCAUGCUCACUUUGCAAAGUUGCAAUAAAUUUAUGGAGUUCACUUAUCCAUGGACCAUGUUGUCAAUAGCGGUCUAGGGCAGCGUAAUCCCAGUUUUGGAGUUGGCCUCUCUGCUCUGUGAUCUGGGAUUGACAACAUAGGUGAAAUUAUGCCUGAUAUUCAUGACAGUGAAAUUAUGAUAUGGCCAGCACUCCGUCACCAUUGAGCUUCCCCUUUGAUAACAUUAUGCCUGAACUGCAACAUACAAGAAUUGGCGGUUUGAAUAGUACAAAUUAUUUUAAGGCCUUUGAAGCUUCCCCAAGGAGAAACUCACGUGCUAAUGUGGAUGUCAGGCCAUUGGAGGAUAUACCAAAAACUAUUCCACCAGAAAGUUCAUUAGCUAAUAGUUUUUCUUUGCCACCUCCUGGUGUCCAGACUGUAUCCGAGGAUGAUUCUCAGUUUAUUCACCAAAAACAUGAAGAUGAAAUUCUUGAACUUAACACUGUGUUUGUUCACCCUGAAUAUGAAGAUGAAAUUCAUGAAGUUAGAGAAAAUUGUCACGAUGAAUAAGUUGCUUAGGCCAAGCUGAAGUUGUUCUUAAGGUUAUGGAGGAGACGGGUGUCAAAACUAAAGAUGUUAAGGGAAGAGAGGCAAUUAGCAUCAAAUGCUGCACUUAACUCAUUACCAUUGGCCCCCCAAUUCGUCAUUGUAUAGAAAAUACUGGUUACUUUGACAAGUUUGAUAUUGAUACAACGAUGAGGGAAAGAUAUGGAAAACAGGAAAACUCACGGUCAAGACUUAAUGUUUCUAAUAUAGUUGUUGACACACUAGGCAGAAGAAAUCCAGAUGCUAAAUGCUUUUGCUGGAAAAUUAUUUUAUGCACUCAGAUGAGCAGUGCACGUGAAAUGGGGACCGCAGGCUUGUGGUUAACAUCGAAGUUAAUUCCUUCUUGCGAUGAUGAUGUGAUGAUUUCAUCUCCUGGCUUGGUAAUAUGGAGGAAAUGGAUUCCUAGUCAAUCUGACAUUGAUCCUACCUGCUGCCUCUCUGUAAUUAGAGAUAUAGGAGUCAGUAGUCGAGAUGAGGUAUUAUCAGGGGCAAGUGAAAUUUUGUUUCUAGUGUCUGAGAGCAUCUCUUGGAACCAUCAGAGAGUUCAUCUCCAUAAUCUUUUGAUGUCAAUUCCCUCCGGUGCUUGUUUGCCUCUACUGAUCCUUUGUGACUCAUACGAUUCCUCUUCUGUUAUAAUCAAUGAACUGGGCCUUCAAGACAUCGACAAAUUGCGUGUUAGUAGCUUCUUGUUUUUCUCAGGGAAAACGAGCAGAGAAAACACAUGGAUAGAUUUUACGGUGAUACCCGGUUAAGAGAAGGGCUGCAAUGGCUGGCAGGUGAAUCACCGAGGACACAGCUUGAGAGUUUCUUGAUCCAGUACCUGACUCAUACUAGUAAUAUGAUGGGAGUUUCAUUGGCAGCAAAAGAGGUGCAUGUCAUAACACAAAGAUGUGCUAGACUUGAGUUGUGUGGCACAAGCUACCGUGUAGUUCCACAUUGGGGUAUGAUUUUUCGUCGAAUUUUUAACUGGCGAUUAAUUGGUUUAUCUAGUAGUGAAGUUUCCUCUGCUUACAUCUCAGAAUGUCA
Molecule: long non-coding RNA, 3505 nt
Organism: Trifolium pratense (red clover)
Lineage: Eukaryota; Viridiplantae; Streptophyta; Magnoliopsida; Fabales; Fabaceae
Exons: 8
Source: RefSeq, a predicted model, not a curated record